GAUAAGAAUACCUGGAGAAUUACUGAAAGAUAACAGAAGUGUACUUAUUAAAGUGUCGGAUAUUAAAAAAAGAAAAUAAAAAUCUCUUAUCAGAGAGAUUUUUCUCAAAAUGGAGAAUAAAAUCAAUAUACCUUGAUGCCAACAAAAGCUGAGACAAUUUGCGGCCAGGACAACUGUGCUACAGAAUUUCUAAUGGCUGUGCUUCUGACUGAAGGAGAAGGUUUCCAGUUGGAAAUGCAAAUCUACAGAAGGGAUGAUGAGCACCAUGAAUGGCGGAUAGAUGACUGGCUACAAAAGAUGAAUCUGAUAUGGGAUAAACAUCAAAUUUAUUCAUCAUGUUUUCUUAUAAAGCUUAUAAGAAAUAUAUAGACCUGUUUUUAAAUCUCUUCCUAUUACUGACUGGCAGUCUUCCUUCCUGAAUUCCAAACAUGGCCAUAUUUUGUUCAGUGGAACUGCACAUAUGUAAGAAGAGAUUCGUAUUUCAUAUAAUAAUUUCCCCAACACAGAUUCAGAUGAAACUUCUCUAUGUCAUCUGCUACUGAGGCUAAAUAUGCCAAUUUCCCUAAACCCUUCAUCUUCCUUCAACUUCAUGUGGCAAUGCUGUGUGUGGCCAUUCUGGUUAGUCUUCUG
This 630-nucleotide long non-coding RNA is filed under the name Callithrix jacchus (white-tufted-ear marmoset). Its description in RNAcentral is "lncRNA (ENSCJAG00000051574.2)". The record is from RNAcentral. Lineage: Eukaryota; Metazoa; Chordata; Mammalia; Primates; Cebidae.